GAAAUGCGAUAACUAGUGUGAAUUGCAGAAUUCAGUGAAUCAUCGAGUCUUUGAACGCAUAUUGCGCCCGUCGGUAUUCCAAAGGGCAUGCCUGUUCGAGCGUCAUUUGUACCCUCAAGCUUUGCUUGGUGUUGGGCGUUUUUUGUCUUUGGCUCGCCCAAAGACUCGCCUUAAAACGAUUGGCAGCCGGCCUACUGGUUUCGCAGCGCAGCACAUUUUUGCGCUUGCAAUCAGCAAAAGAGGACGGCAAUCCAUCAAGACUCCUUCUCACGUUUGACCUCGGAUCAGGUAGGGAUACCCGCUGAACUUAAGC
Molecule: unclassified non-coding RNA, 313 nt
Filed under: plant metagenome
Description: partial contains 5.8S ribosomal RNA, internal transcribed spacer 2, and large subunit ribosomal RNA
Rfam family: 5.8S ribosomal RNA (bases 1-105)
Source: RNAcentral